AACGAACGCUGGCGGCAGGCUUAACACAUGCAAGUCGAGCGCGUAGCAAUACGAGCGGCAGACGGGUGAGUAACGCGUGGGAAUCUACCCAACCCUACGGAAUAACGCAUGGAAACGUGUGCUAAUACCGUAUACGCCCUUUGGGGGAAAGAUUUAUCGGGGAUGGAUGAGCCCGCGUUGGAUUAGCUAGUUGGUGGGGUAAAGGCCUACCAAGGCGACGAUCCAUAGCUGGUCUGAGAGGAUGAUCAGCCACAUUGGGACUGAGACACGGCCCAAACUCCUACGGGAGGCAGCAGUGGGGAAUAUUGGACAAUGGGCGCAAGCCUGAUCCAGCCAUGCCGCGUGAGUGAUGAAGGCCUAGGGUUGUAAAGCUCUUUCACCGGUGAAGAUAAUGACGGUAACCGGAGAAGAAGCCCGGCUAACUUCGUGCCAGCAGCCGCGGUAAAGUGACUACUG
This 456-nucleotide ribosomal RNA is filed under the name uncultured bacterium. Its description in RNAcentral is "bacterial SSU rRNA". It matches the Rfam family "Bacterial small subunit ribosomal RNA", at positions 29 to 532 of the family's 1533-position model. The record is from RNAcentral.